AACGAACGCUGGCGGCAGGCUUAACACAUGCAAGUCGAACACAUCCUUCGGGGUGAGUGGCAGACGGGUGAGUAACGCGUGGGAACGUGCCCUUCAGUUCGGAAUAACCCAGGGAAACUUGGGCUAAUACCGGAUACGUGCGAGAGCAGAAAGAUUUAUCGCUGAAGGAUCGGCCCGCGUCUGAUUAGCUAGUUGGUGAGGUAAUGGCUCACCAAGGCGACGAUCAGUAGCUGGUCUGAGAGGAUGAUCAGCCACAUUGGGACUGAGACACGGCCCAAACUCCUAGGGGAGGCAGCAGUGGGGAAUAUUGGACAAUGGGCGCAAGCCUGAUCCAGCCAUGCCGCGUGAGUGAUGAAGGCCUUAGGGUUGUAAAGCUCUUUCAGUGGUGACGUUAAUGACGGUACCCGCAGAAGAAGCCCCGGCUAACUUCGUGCCAGCCGCCGCGGUAA
This 449-nucleotide ribosomal RNA is filed under the name uncultured bacterium. RNAcentral's name for it is "partial 16S ribosomal RNA". It matches the Rfam family "Bacterial small subunit ribosomal RNA", at positions 29 to 523 of the family's 1533-position model. The record is from RNAcentral.